GAUGAACGCUGGCGGCGUGCUUAACACGUGCAAGUCGAACGGAAAGGCCCAAGCUUGCUUGGGUACUCGAGUGGCGAACGGGUGAGUAACACGUGGGUGAUCUGCCCUGCACUUCGGGAUAAGCCUGGGAAACUGGGUCUAAUACCGGAUAGGACCACAUUUUGGGUGGUGUGGUGGAAAGUUUUUCGGUGUGGGAUGAGCUCGCGGCCUAUCAGCUUGUUGGUGGGGUAAUGGCCUACCAAGGCGUCGACGGGUAGCAGGACUGAGAGGGUGUACGGCCACACUGGAACUGAGAUACGGCCGCGACGGCUACGGGAGGGAGAAGGGGGGAAUAUUGCACAAGGGGCGCAGGCCUGAUGCUGAGACGCUGCGUGGGGGAUGACGGCCUUCGUGUUGAAAACUCCUUUCGCUAGGGACGAAGCGUUAUGUGACGGUACCUGGAGAAGAAGCACCGGCUAACUACGUG
This 466-nucleotide ribosomal RNA is filed under the name uncultured bacterium. RNAcentral's name for it is "partial 16S ribosomal RNA". It matches the Rfam family "Bacterial small subunit ribosomal RNA", at positions 28 to 507 of the family's 1533-position model. The record is from RNAcentral.